GCUUGUCUCAAAGAUUAAGCCAUGCAUGUCUAAGUAUAAACGAAUCUAUACUGUGAAACUGCGUACGGCUCAUUAAACCAGUUAUAGUUUAUUUGAUAUUCCCCUACUACUCGGAUACCCGUAGUAAUUCUAGAGCUAAUACAUGCUAUCAAGCCCGACUUCUUGAAGGGUUGUAUUUAUUAGACUUAAGCCAAUAUUCCUUGUGUCUAUUGCGAUGAUUCAUAAUAACUGAUCGAAUCUCAAAUUUGAGAUAAAUCAUUCAAGUUUCUGCCCUAUCAGCUUUCGAUGGUAGUGUAUUGGACUACCAUGGCAGUAACGGGUAACGAAGAAUUAGGGUUCGAUUUCGGAGAGGGAGCAUGAGAAACGGCUACCACAUCUAAGGAAGGCAGCAGG
This 393-nucleotide ribosomal RNA is filed under the name uncultured Scuticociliatia. RNAcentral's name for it is "partial small subunit ribosomal RNA". It matches the Rfam family "Eukaryotic small subunit ribosomal RNA", at positions 30 to 432 of the family's 1831-position model. The record is from RNAcentral. Lineage: Eukaryota; Ciliophora; Oligohymenophorea.